RNAcentral lists this ribosomal RNA (917 nucleotides) under Neodidymelliopsis negundinis. RNAcentral's name for it is "eukaryotic LSU rRNA". It matches the Rfam family "Eukaryotic large subunit ribosomal RNA", at positions 32 to 967 of the family's 3401-position model. The record is from RNAcentral. Lineage: Eukaryota; Fungi; Ascomycota; Dothideomycetes; Pleosporales; Didymellaceae.
AACUAAGCAUAUCAAUAAGCGGAGGAAAAGAAACCAACAGGGAUUGCCCUAGUAACGGCGAGUGAAGCGGCAACAGCUCAAAUUUGAAAUCUGGCGUCUUUGGCGUCCGAGUUGUAAUUUGCAGAGGGCGCUUUGGCAUCGGCAGCGGUUCAAGUUCCUUGGAACAGGACGUCACAGAGGGUGAGAAUCCCGUACGUGAUCGCUAGCCUUUACCGUGUAAAGCCCCUUCGACGAGUCGAGUUGUUUGGGAAUGCAGCUCUAAAUGGGAGGUAAAUUUCUUCUAAAGCUAAAUACUGGCCAGAGACCGAUAGCGCACAAGUAGAGUGAUCGAAAGAUGAAAAGCACUUUGGAAAGAGAGUUAAAAAGCACGUGAAAUUGUUGAAAGGGAAGCGCUUGCAGCCAGACUUGCCUGUAGUUGCUCAUCCGGGUUUUUACCCGGUGCACUCUUCUAUAGGCAGGCCAGCAUCAGUUUGGGCGGUUGGAUAAAGGUCUCUGUCAUGUACCUCUCUUCGGGGAGAACUUAUAGGGGAGACGACAUGCAACCAGCCUGGACUGAGGUCCGCGCAUCUGCUAGGAUGCUGGCGUAAUGGCUGUAAGCGGCCCGUCUUGAAACACGGACCAAGGAGUCUAACAUCUAUGCGAGUGUUUGGGUGUCAAGCCCGAACGCGUAAUGAAAGUGAACGGAGGUGGGAACCUUUCGGGGUGCACCAUCGACCGAUCCUGAUGUCUUCGGAUGGAUUUGAGUAAGAGCAUAGCUGUUGGGACCCGAAAGAUGGUGAACUAUGCUUGAAUAGGGUGAAGCCAGAGGAAACUCUGGUGGAGGCUCGCAGCGGUUCUGACGUGCAAAUCGAUCGUCAAAUUUGGGCAUAGGGGCGAAAGACUAAUCGAACUAUCUAGUAGCUGGUUCCUGCCGAAGU